RNAcentral lists this unclassified non-coding RNA (188 nucleotides) under uncultured fungus. RNAcentral describes it as "sequence contains ITS1, 5.8S rRNA gene". The record is from RNAcentral. Lineage: Eukaryota; Fungi.
ACGAGUUUGACAUGGGGUUGAUGCUGGCCUUCCGAGGCAUGUGCUCACUCCUGCUCAUCCAUCUACACCUGUGCACCUUUUGUGGCUAGGCCUUACAGUUCAUGUUCUGCAUGGGCUGGAAGCCGGCUGCGUUUUUUUAUACACACACUUUAGUUCAGAAUGUACUAUUGCUAUAAACGCAUUAAAUA